Molecule: ribosomal RNA, 433 nt
Filed under: uncultured bacterium
Lineage: Bacteria
Description: partial 16S ribosomal RNA
Rfam family: Bacterial small subunit ribosomal RNA
Source: RNAcentral
AACGAACGCUGGCGGCAUGCCUAACACAUGCAAGUCGAACGAGACCUUCGGGUCUAGUGGCGCACGGGUGCGUAACGCGUGGGAACCUGCCUUUAGGUUCGGAAUAACUCAGAGAAAUUUGAGCUAAUACCGGAUGAUGUCUUCGGACCAAAGAUUUAUCGCCUUUAGAUGGGCCGGCGUUGGAUUAGCUAGUUGGUGGGGUAAAGGCCUACCAAGGCGACGAUCCAUAGCUGGUCUGAGAGGAUGAUCAGCCACACUGGGACUGAGACACGGCCCAGACUCCUACGGGAGGCAGCAGUGGGGAAUAUUGGACAGUGGGCGAAAGCCUGAUCCAGCAAUGCCGCGUGAGUGAUGAAGGCCUUAGGGUUGUAAAGCUCUUUUACCCGAGAUGAUAAUGACAGUAUCGGGAGAAUAAGCUCCGGCUAACUCCGUG